Long non-coding RNA from Cygnus olor (mute swan), 2160 nucleotides. RefSeq lists it as uncharacterized. Lineage: Eukaryota; Metazoa; Chordata; Aves; Anseriformes; Anatidae. The transcript is spliced from 4 exons. The record is from RefSeq and is a predicted model, not a curated record.
GUUUAAAUAUAUUGCUCUUUUGGCAUCGCUGUUGCUGGCACUCCAUGGCAGCAACCAGGCUGAUUCUUCACCCCAGUUUCCCAGGUGAGCACAGCAGUGCCUCCCUCAUAGAGGUGAGAGUGACCCUGCAAAGACAGAAUCACGCCAUGAUUCCAGAGCUGAAAGAUCCCAAACCAGUGAUUUCUCUCAUUCCUGGCUCAAAGUUACAGGAGUUGAAAAGCACUAGUACAAAAGGGCAACGGUUUUCAUGUCUUUCAGCAAUUAAUUGUAGCUCUUGAAAAGUAAUCAAAACUCAGAGCUGGGUGUUAUGGUAAUUGUCUGAUGACUAAUGAAGGACAAAUGCCUCGAUAAUUAAAGACUGAAAGGCUCUGGGUUAGAUUUUAGAAACAUCAUUCAUUCCUGUGAUUUUUUUCCUUCUGUUUGCUUACUCAAUUUAUCUUUUAAUGGUUUAUUUUAACCUCUGUUUUCCCAUUUUACCUAUAGUUUUUAUAUAACAUAAACAUGCACAGCAAUUUUCUUCAACAGUUUAUGUUUCCAGCCAGCCAUGGAAGAAGAAUUGCUCAAACUGCAGAAGAAUCUGCAUGAUGGUACCUCCACAGAAACACCACGUUUCUGGCAAUGAAAUUGUGAAGAGGGUCUAUGGUACCAUGAUCCAGAAGCCAAGGGAUAAGAUUUAAUUGUGUUUUCCUGUGAAACAGAAGCACAAGCUCGAGCACCUGCCAGUAUUUCUUGACUGAAGUGCUCAUCUGUUUUAUACUUUUCUUCUUUCCUUUUCUUUUCUAUUUUUUUUCUCAGCUGAAGGUACCUACAGCUGGACCCAACUAGAUGCUGUUUGAUCAACUGACCAUGCUAGAUGUUGUCCAGACAAGGCUUUAGAGCUAUUUGCCACAGUGACUGGAUAUAGGAACCAGAGCAGUGAAGGUGGUUUUGAGGGAAGACUGUGGUUAAAUCAGACUGAGUGUAUAGGAACCCUUUUCAGUGACAGAGACAGAUAAUUAGUCUAAUAAUUGUGGCUAGUGUGUAAAUACUUGUAAAUAAACUUUACACAUCUUCUGUGGCUCCAAGGACUCCAGAACACCACAAGAGACACUGUGGGAAAGAGGCAUACAUUUUAAAAAGAUAAUUUAACAAUAAGGAUUUGAUUUAAAAAAAAGGAUAAUAAUUUGAUAAUAAGUGUUAUUUUAAUAAGAGUAGAUUACUAUAAAAGAGAGCUUUCCCUGCCCCUUGAAAUGCUUGUGGUGUUUUGCAUUAACCUGCAGUGGAAGGGAAUUAAGCUAAAUCAAUUUGUGCACUAUUCACCCAACUUUUGGAAAUGUUUUGCUAGAGAGGUCACAGGACAGGUUAAUACAAUCGAGUUAGCACACUAUGGCAAGUCAUGUUAAUAAGUUUUGUGUCAUACAGUCAACUGAGAGGAUCCUUGCUUGCAUCUUAAUUUGUGGUAACCUGUGGCUGUGUCUUUACUGGCAAAUGCUUCCAGAGAAGAGAGAGAAAUAGACCACUGACCUGAUACAGGUUGAGAACAGCACAGCUAGUUGAACAGCACUUAAACUCUAAACUGGUGUUUCCAAACAGCUGGAAUCAGAAGGUAGCCCAAUAACUGCCCACUCACCCACCUGCUACACUUUGGACUGAAAUCUGUACCUCCAUGUUGCUGCUGACCAUGCAAAUAAAGAGAACAGCACAGCCUGGCAUCAGAAAGGUAUGUGGGGUCCUUGCGCCUGUGGGAAACAGUGGGGCUUAGGAUCCUGCAUAACUUUCUGUAUUCAUCUUGGGUGUUCGUCAUCACUGUGAAAUACUUCUUGCACUCUGUUUCAGUUACGUGUCCUCAAAAUCCUAUAUUAACUCUUAGUGUCUCAAGGGAAGAGUAACUCAAAACAGAUGUACCGUGCAGGGUAGGUUGUACAAUAUUAUUCUAUGUUGAAGAGGUCUUUCAUAAAGUACCAUGGAAAGAGUUCAAAAAUAACUAUUAAAAGGAGGAUAAUAACUUUUACCUCUGACACUAAGGGAAAUACAGUCUAGCAUAUUAUAUUCCUCACAGAUAAGAUGAGCAAUUUAAGCGCAAGACAAACUAAUCCAAUAAGCAUGUUAAUGAAAACACUCCUGAUUAAAAUCGCUCAGUAAAGUGAUCAUGUGGAAAUUUUAACAAGCAACAUGACUUGU